This 213-nucleotide ribosomal RNA is filed under the name uncultured fungus. Its description in RNAcentral is "partial small subunit ribosomal RNA". The stretch from base 38 to 213 matches the Rfam family "Eukaryotic small subunit ribosomal RNA", at positions 685 to 863 of the family's 1831-position model. The record is from RNAcentral. Lineage: Eukaryota; Fungi.
GACGCAGUUGUCUGGUCUGCCUAACGGUAAGUACCGGUUAACUGUGUCUUCCUUUCUGGAAAUUCUGGCUGUUCUUUAUUGAGUGGUCAGAAAAACCAGGACUUUUACUUUGAAAAAAUUAGAGUGUUCAAAGCAGGCUUACGCUUGAAUACAUUAGCAUGGAAUAAUAAAAUAGGACGGUGGUCCUGUUUUGUUGGUUUCUGAAUCACCGUA